RNAcentral lists this ribosomal RNA (256 nucleotides) under uncultured bacterium. RNAcentral's name for it is "partial 16S ribosomal RNA". The record is from RNAcentral.
CUGCUGCCUCCCGUAGGAGUUUGGGCCGUGUCUCAGUCCCAAUGUGGCCGUUCACCCUCUCAGGCCGGCUACUGAUCGUCGCCUUGGUGGGCUGUUACCCCGCCAACAAGCUAAUCAGACGCGGAUCCAUCGUAUACCACCGGAGUUUUUCACACCGUCUCAUGCGAGACUGUGCGCUUAUGCGGUAUUAGCACCUAUUUCUAAGUGUUAUCCCCCAGUAUACGGCAGGUUAUCCACGCGUUACUCACCCGUCCCG